RNAcentral lists this non-coding RNA (301 nucleotides) under Hordeum vulgare subsp. vulgare (domesticated barley). RNAcentral describes it as "Bacterial small subunit ribosomal RNA". It matches the Rfam family "Bacterial small subunit ribosomal RNA", at positions 560 to 870 of the family's 1533-position model. Lineage: Eukaryota; Viridiplantae; Streptophyta; Magnoliopsida; Poales; Poaceae. The record is from Rfam by way of RNAcentral.
GUAAAGCAACUAUAGAUGGAUUUUUAAGUCCGCCAUCAAAUCUCAGGUCUCAACUUUGGACUUGCGGUGGAAACUACCAAGCUGGAGUAUGGUAGGGACAUAGGGAAUUUCCGGUCGGGUGGUGAAAUGCAUUGAGAUUGGAAAGAACACCAAUGACGAAAACACUCUGUUGGGUCAACACUGACACUGAAGGAUGAAAGCUAUGGGAGAAAAUGGGAUUGUGAUACGUCCAUUUUGCAUCAUGGUUUUAUGUUGAUAUUUAUCGCUUUAUGGGCUAUUAUCACACUUUACGGUACAUUAC